RNAcentral lists this ribosomal RNA (253 nucleotides) under uncultured bacterium. RNAcentral describes it as "partial 16S ribosomal RNA". It matches the Rfam family "Bacterial small subunit ribosomal RNA", at positions 524 to 776 of the family's 1533-position model. The record is from RNAcentral.
GACAGAGGGUGCAAACGUUGUUCGGAAUUACUGGGCGUAAAGCGUGUGUAGGCGGCAGCGCAAGUCGGGCGUGAAAUCCCACGGCUCAACCGUGGAAGUGCACUCGAAACUGCGCAGCUAGAGUCCUGGAGAGGAAGGUGGAAUGCUUGGUGUAGAGGUGAAAUUCGUAGAUAUUCGCAAGAACACCAGUGGCGAAGGCGGCUUACUGGUCCGGUUCUGACGCUGAGGCGCGAAAGCGUGGGGAGCAAACAGG